Molecule: ribosomal RNA, 465 nt
Filed under: uncultured bacterium
Lineage: Bacteria
Description: bacterial SSU rRNA
Rfam family: Bacterial small subunit ribosomal RNA
Source: RNAcentral
CCUACGGGAGGCAGCAGUGGGGAACAUCGCACAAUGGGCGCAGGCCUGAUGCAGCCAUGCCGCGUGUAUGAAGAAGGCCUUCGGGUUGUAAAGUACUUUCAGCGGGGAGGAUGGCGAUAAGGUUAAUAACCUUGUCGAUUGACGUUACCCGCAGAAGAAGCACCGGCUAACUCCGUGCCAGCAGCCGCGGUAAUACGGAGGGUGCAAGCGUUAAUCGGAAUUACUGGGCGUAAAGUGCACGCAGGCGGUCUGUCAAGUCGGAUGUGAAAUCCCCGGGCUCAACCUGGGAACUGCAUACGAAACUGGCAGGCUAGAGCCUUGUAGAGGGGGGUAGAAUUCCAGGUGUAGCGGUGAAAUGCGUAGAGAUCUGGAGGAAUACCGGUGGCGAAGGCGGCCCCCUGGACAAAGACUGACGCUCAGGUGCGAAAGCGUGGGGAGCAAACAGGAUUAGAUACCCUAGUAGUC